Molecule: long non-coding RNA, 252 nt
Filed under: Actinidia chinensis (golden kiwifruit)
Lineage: Eukaryota; Viridiplantae; Streptophyta; Magnoliopsida; Ericales; Actinidiaceae
Description: long non-coding RNA (ACHI_LNC008153)
Source: RNAcentral
AGCUAGUAAGUAGCUGUAUAAAUUAUGAUACUUUGGGUUCUUUUUCUUUUUGUGGCCAUUCCUGUCUUUUUUCUUCUUUCAUAUUUUCCACUAGGCACGUUAUGAAGAAAAUGAAGAUGAAAAGAAUGUCAGUUAUUAACUUUUAUAAUAUCUUAUUGGCUUAAUUUUACAAACACCUUCUAAACUAUCGUCUUUUAUCACUUUUACCCUUUCAUCUAAAAAUUGAAUCAUAUUGACCCCCUUAACUAUUUA